CACGGCAACGGCUGCGGCACGGCAACGGCUGGGGCACGGCAACGGCUGGUGCAUGUUGCCGGCGGAGGCAUUUAGGUAGUGCACGACGGCUGGGCGCCGGGCCUGUUUGGCUGUGACGCCCACCCCCGGCUUUCAUCCGCCUAUGCCCUAGGGCUAGUGGAAGACUUAAGAUGGCGGCGUUUGCACGGAGUGCAAUCACUGCGUCCUUACGGGGGUUGCAAGGCGUCCGAAGUAUGAGUCCACUAACAAAAGUCCAGAAACUCGCCAGUUAAUAGUAUUGUGUCUCUUCAAAAUAUCGGAGAAUAAUUUCUUUCUCGCUGAUCGCCUAACUUCUACUGACGAAGCUUGGAAGUUGCAGAAGGUACUGGCUCCUGUAUCACCCAGCUCUGGAGUUGAAAGAGCUCUUCAUUCCUGAGUCUCCUGUACCACUGAGAAUAGUUUCUUCAAAGGAAAGAAGCAACUGGAACACACAUAUAACACUAACCCUUCCAGCUGCAUUAUGAGGGACCAGUACCUGUCUCAAGGCAAAAUUAUGACUUAGUUCAUCCUCACCUCUGGAGGCCAGUAAAAGUGGGUUAUAGAAGAACAAAGAGGCAUCUAGAUCUUUCACUGGGUUAUUUGGAGAGAAACAUCUCCUACCGAAGGCCAGUUUAACAAGACUGGUAGAGGAGGUUAUCUUAUCUAAUUCACAGAAAUCAACACAUUGAGUCAAGAAAAAUGAAACACAGAAACACUCUAAAUAAAAGAAGAUAAGUCUUCAGAAACCAACCCUAAUGAAAUGAAGAUAUGUGAUUAACCUGACAGGAAAUUAAAAAGAGCAACCAUAAAGAGUCUCAUGGGAGCAAUGCAUGAACAAACUGAGAAUUUUCAUAAAGAAAUAAAAGAUAACAAAAAGUAUAAAGUUGAAGAAUACAAUAACUGGACUCAAAAAUUUAAUGUGUCCAACAGAAGAAUCGAUGAAGCAGAAGAAAGGGCUAUCAAACUUGUAGAUAGGCCAUUGGAAAUCAUGUAAUGUGAGGAGAAAAAAGAAAAAAGAUUGAAGAUAGUUUAAGAGACUUUUGAGACAUCCUCAAAGGGGAAUAAUUUAUACAUUACCAGAUGGAGAAGAUAGAGGGAAAAGGACAGAAAACAUAUUUGAAGAAAUAAUGUCAGAAAACCUCAUAAUUCUGGCAAGGAAAUAGAAAUUUAGAUCUAAGAAUCUCGAACAUCAGGUAUGAUGAAUCCAAGGAGACUCACACCAAACCAUAUUGUAAUUAAAUAAAGGUUAAAGACAAUCUUCAGAGCAGCAAGGGAAUAGUCUCUUCUUACAUACAAAAUGAUCCACGGAAGACUGUCAGCAGACUUCACCAGAAAACUUUCACGCCAGAAGGCAGUCGUGAUAUAUACAAAAAGCUGAAAGGAAAACACUGCCAUCCAGGAAUACUAUCUCCAACUAUCCUGUGUUUCAAAAAUUAAGGAGAAAUAUAAAGUUCUCAAACAAAAGAUGUGGGAGUUUACCACCACUAGACCUGCACGGGAAGAAUUGCUAAAGGGAGUCCUUCAAGCUGUAGUAAAAGAGUGCUAAUUAGAAACAUGAAAACAAAUACAAAAAAAAUUCUAAAACUUGUAUGGAACUACAAAAGACAUUAAAUAAUCAAAGUAAUCUUGAGCAACAAGGACACAGCUGGAGGCAUCACUCUACCUGAUUUUGUAAUCCAUUAUCAAAAAACUGUGGUACCAGCAUAAAAACAGAUUCACUGACCAGUGGAACAGGAAAGCCCAGACAUAACUCAUACAUUUCCAUCCAAUUGAUUUUUGACAAAAGUGGCACACAGAAUGGGGAGAGGACAAAUAAAUAAAUAAAUUGUUUUGAGAUAUCUGUAUAUCUAUAUGUGAAAUUGAACCAUUUUCUCAUAGCAUAUAGAAAAAUCAACUCAAAAUGGAUUAAAGCCUGAAAUGUUGCCUUUGAAACUGUAAAACUACUAGUAGAAAAUAUAGGGGAAAAGCUCUAUGAUGUUGUUCUGGGCAAUGAUUUCUUGGAUACAUCCUUAAAAGCAUGGGCAGCAAAAACAGCCAGACAACUAUCAGGGAACCUGCCCAGAUAGUCACAUAGGUUCUUUUCUAUUUUCCCUAAGCAUUGGCCGGGUUGAGAAAUAAAGGGACAGAGUACAAAAGAGAGAAAUUUUAAAGCUGGGCAUCCUGGGGAGACAUCACAUGUCGGUAGGUUCCGUGAUGCCCCCUGAGCCGUAAAACCAGUAAGUUUUUAUUAGGGAUUUUCAAAGGGGAGGGAGUAUACGAAUAGGAGGUGGGUCACAGAGAUCACGUGCUUCACAAGGUAAUAGAAUAUCACAAGGCAAAUGGAGGCAGGGCGAGAUCACAGGACCACAGGACUGGGUUGAAAUUAAAAUUGCUAAUGAAGUUUCGGGCACCAUCGUCAUUGAUAACAUCUUAUCAGGAGACAGGGUUUGAGAGCAACCUGUCUGACCAAAAUUUAUUAGGUGGGAAUUUCCUCGUCCUAAUAAGCCUGGGAGCGCUAUGGGAGACUGGGGCUUAUUUCAUCCCUACAGUCUCGACCAUAGAAGACAGCUACACCCAAGGGGGCCAUUUUAGAGGCCCACCCUCAGGGGCACAUUCUCUUUCUCAGGGAUGUUCCUUGCUGAGAAAAAGAAUUCGGCGAUAUUUCUCCCAUUUGCUUUUGAAAGAAGAGAAAUAUGGCUCUGUUCCGCCUGGCUCACCGGCGGUCAGAGUUUAAGGUUAUCUCUCUUAUUCCCUGAACAUUGCUGUUAUCCUGUUCUUUUUUCAAGGUGCCUAGAUUUCAUAUUGUUUAAACACACAUGCUCUACAAUUUCUGCACUUAACACAAUUAUCACAGGGUCCUGAGGCGACAUACGUCCUCCUCGGCUUACGAGAUGACAGGAUUAAGAGAUUAAAACAGGCAUAGGAAAUCACAAGGGUAUUGAUUGGGGAAGUGAUAAGUGUCCAUGAAAUCUUCACAAUUUAUGUUUAGAGAUUGCAGUAAAGACAGGCAUAAGAAAUUAUAAAAGUAUUAAUUUGGGGAACUAAUAAAUGUCCAUGAAAUCUUCACGAUCCACGUUCUUCCGCCAUGGCUUCAGCCAGUCCCUCCGUUUGGGGUCCCUGACUUCCCGCAACAGACAACUUGAGUUGCAUCAAACUAAAAAGCAUCUGCACUGCAAAGGGUACAGUUAACAGAAUGAAGACACGGGUUUUGAGAAACCAUUUUCAAAUCAUAUAUCUGAUAAGGGGCUAAUAUCCAAAAUGUAUUAAGAAACCCAAGCCCAAUAGCAAGAAAACAACUGUCUUUAAAAGGGGGAAAAGGACCUCAACUUAAAUUUUUCAGAGGAAGACAUGAGUGGCCAAUUGAUUGAUACAUGAAAAAAAUGCUCAACAUCUCUAAUCAUUAGUGAGUUGCAAAUCAAAACUGCAAGAUAUUACCUUACACCUUUUAGAAUGGCUAUUAUUAAAAGGAUGAAAGACAGGUGCUGGCAAGGAUGUGGAUAAAAGGAAGUCCCAACAUUCUGUUAGUGGGAAUAUAAAUUAGUAUAGCCAAUUUAGGAAACUAUAUGGUGGUUCCUUAAGAAACUAAAAGUACAAUUACUAUAUGAUCUAGCAAUCUCUACUUAGGUAUAUAUCCAAAGGAAUUGAAGCAGUAUGUUGAGAUCUUGCACUCCCUUAUUUUGAAAUUAUUUACAAAGCUAAUAAAUGGAAAAGACUUAAGUUUUCAUAACAGAUGAAUGGACAUAGAAGAUGUGUUGUAUAUACAUAUUGGAAUAUUUUUUAUCCUUGGAAAAGAAGGAAAAUUGUCAUUUGUGACAACAUGGAUGAAUCUGUAGUAUACUAUGCUAAGUGUUGUAAGACAGGCACAGAGAGGCAAAUACUACAUUAUAUUUGUAUGUGGAAUCUAAGAAAGGCUAACUCAUACAAGUAGAAAGUUGGAUGUUAUGGUUUCCAGGAUGUGGGUGUUGGAGAGAUGGGCAAAGGCAAGACGUUGGUCAAAGAGUACCAAUUUUCUGUUAGGAGGAAUAAGUUUUAGACAUAUUUCACAGCAUGGUGACCAUUGUCACUGACUGUAUAUUUUAAAAUUGUUAUAAGUAGAUAUUAAAGUUGUCACAACAAAAGUAGGUGAAGUUAUGGAUAUGUUAAUGUGCUUGAUUUAGUUAUUACACUAUGUAUACAUACAAAAACAUCAGAUAGUUCCCUGGAAUUAUAUACAAUUAUUACUUGUCAAUUAUAAAAAAAAGCCCUACUGCAACCACUAAAAAGGAUUUUCAUAUAAUAGAGGGAAAAAUCGUUAAAGAUAAUAAUACAUUAUUUUAGAAAAUAUUAACUUAUAAAAAGUAGUAUAGGAGGGAUUCUGUAAAAGAAGAUAGACAUAGAAUUUUAAAAUGUAUAAUGGAAAAUUUAAAUCCAGCUGUACUGAUGGAUCAAGCAAUCCAAACCAGUCUGAUUGACCAAGUGGAUAUUUAAAAAACAAUCAAACUAUAAGGUGUCUGUUGUAGGCAGUUUAUAAAAUACAAAAGUGUUGAAAGAAAUAGGAUGGAAAUAGAAAUAUCCAAGUAGCAACCACAAAAAAACUGGAAUGUCUGCACUAACAUCAUACAAAACAAACCAAAUGAAGGUUAAAAAUAUUGAAAUUAUACAAAAUAUGUUCUAUGACUAAAAUUUAAUGAAAUUAGAAAUAACACAGAGAUAGGAACUAUACAUAUUUGUGCAAAUUUAAAAAGUUAUGCUGAGUGUGGUGGCUCACACCUGUAAUCCCAGCACUUUGGGAGGCCGGGGAGGGUGGAUCACUUGAAGUCAGGAGUUGGAGACCAGCCUGGCCAACAUGGUGAAACCCUGUCUCUACUAAAAAUACAGAAAAUUAGCCAGAUGUGGUGGUGUGCGCCUGUAGUCCCAGCUACUCGGGUGGCUGAGGCACUAGAAUCACUUGAGCCUAGGAGGCAGAGGUGGCAGUGAGCCGAGAUCACACCACUGCACUGCAGCCUGGGCGACAAAGACUGUCAAAAAAAAAAAAAAAAAAAAAAAGUUACGUAACCAACAAGUCAAAGGAGAAUUUAUAAGGAAAUCAGAAAAUACUUUGAGGUGAAUGAAAAUACAGAAACAACAUAUCAAAUUCUGUGAGAUGUGUGAAAGCAACGCUUACAGUGAAAUUAAUAGCUAUGAACAUUGUAAUGAAAUGAGAAGUACUUCAAAUUACUAACCUAACUUUCCAACUUUAGAAAAUACAGUAAAAAAAGAACAAAUUAAAAUCAAAGCAGAAAGGAUAUAAAGUUUAGUGUGGAAAUAGAGAAUUAAAAAUAAUUGAGAAACACAGCACUUCGUUGACUUAUUCAUAAAAUAAAGCUUUAUUAAAAUGAGAAAUGUAAAACGUGAUGUUCCUAAUGACCUUAUUCCAUACAAGGGAUUAGUAUUUUGACAAAUAUCUUUGUGGAAGUAGACAAAUUCCUAGAAAGACACUGACUACCACAACUCAUUCAAGAACAAAGUGAAGACAAUAAAUUGGUAAUUUAAAAACUCUCACCCCUGCCCCUGACACACAUGUAAAUUCCCAGUUCAAAUGUAUUCUUUUGUAUAUUAUACCAAACACAUGAAAAUUACCAAUUCGAUAAAAAUGUCUUAAAAACUUGGAAGAGCAUGUAAUAUUUUUUACUGGUUCUAUGAUGCUAUUGUUAUCUAGAUACCAAAGUGAAACAUCAUACACAGGGAAAACUCUGAUAAUAUCGCUUAUGAGUGGAUCUGUGAAAUUUCCUAGUAAAUUUUGGCAAACCAAAUACAGUAACAUAUAAACAGGAAUGUACACCAGUACCCAGUACAGUGUAUCCCUGGAAUGCAACGUUAUUUCAUCAGCUGGAAAUGAUUAGUGCAACAGACUGAAGGAAGAAAACAACAUGGUCAUCUCAAUAGAUUGUGGACGGCUGGAAGUGGAGGCUCACGCCUGUAAUCCUAAUACUCCUACCAACAGUGUAUAAGCAUUCCUUUUUCUCUGUAACUUCACCAGAAUCUGUUUUUUUGUUUGUUUGUUUGUUUGUUUUUGACUUUGUAAUAGCCAUGGGCUGGGCUCAGUGACUCACGCCUGUAAUCCUAGCACUGGGGGAGGCUGAGGUGGGCGGAUCACUUGAGGUCAGGAGUUCGAGACCAGCCUGGCCAACAUGGUGAAACCCCAUCUCUACUAAAAAUACUAAAAUUACCUGUGCAUGGUGGCAAGUGCCUGUAAUCCCAGCUACUCGGGAGUCUGAGGCAGUAGAAUCACUUGAACCCAGGAGGUGGAGGUUGCAGUGAGCGGAGAUUGUGCCACUGCACUUGGACCUGGCUGACACAGCAAGACUAUGUUUAAAAAAAAAGAGAGAGAAAAAAAAAAUAGAAGGUGGAAAAAGUAUUUGGUAAACUAAGAAGUAAACCACAACCUAGUAAAGGGCAUAUUUUAAGAAUUCACAACUAGAACCUGGUGCCGUGGCUGUAAUCCCAGCACUUGGGGAAGCCAAAGCAGGAUUACUUGAGGCCAGAAGUCUGAGAUCAGCCUAGGCAAUAUAAGGAUACUCUGUAUCUUAAAAAAAAAAAAAAAAUCCAGAUGUGAUGACACAUGCCUGUACGCCUAGCUACUUGGGAAGCUGAGGUUCAUGUUUACAAUGAGCUAUGAUGAUGCCACUGUACUCCUGACUGAACAACAGAGUGAGACCCUGUCUCUAAAAAGCAAAACAAAACAGAAAACCCAAAACCCUCAAAACUAAUGUUACACUUAGUAUUUAAAGAAUGCUUUCUCUGUAAGAAGAGGAGCAAGGACAGGAUAAAACAUUCUUGCCAGUUCUGUUCAACAGUGUACUGGAAGUAUCUGUGACAUUAAUUGCAUUGCAUAUGGAAGGAAAUAAAAUUUUUUAAAUAGGAAGCAGCAAAACCUUUUGCAGAUGACAUGGUUUUGUACAUACACAACCCCAGUGGAUCCAAUAAAUUUGGAUUCCAAUAACAAGAUCAUCUCAGCAAGUUUUUGUGAUUUAAGAUUACAAUCCAAAAAUCAGUUGUAUUUCUAUAUAUUAUUAAAGAAGUCAAAAGUGACAUCAUUGAAACAUUUUUAUUUACAAUAUUAUUAAGGCAAAAUACUGUGGGAUAAAGUGAAAUUCAGCAUGAACUGUGAAUAACACAAAAUAUUUGUCAGAGGAGUUGAGGAAUAUCUACAUAUGUGGAAAGACAUCUCAUAUUUGUGGACUAGAAGAUUUAAGCAUCGCUAGGUGCGGUGGCUCACGCCUGUAAUCCCAGCACUUUGGUAGGCUGGUCUCGAAUUCCCGACCUCAGGUAAUCUGCUCGCCUCUGCCUCCCAAAGUACUGGGAUUAUAGGUGUGAGCCACCAUGCCCGGCCCUUUGUUUUCAAAUCUCAUAUCCAACAUUGGACUUAUGGCUAGAAUAUUUACAUAAUUCUCAAAAGAUAGUAUUAAAAAUCCAAAGCUUUAAAUUAGAAAAUGGGCAAAAGUCAUGAAAGAACAUUCCCCUGAGGAUAGGGAAAUGUCAAUAAGGACAUGAUGGAAAUUAAUACUAUGAUGAGAUAUUACAGAAGAUUUAUUUUUCUUUGAGGCGGAGUCUGCCUCUGUCACCGAGGCUGGAGUGCAGUGGCAUGAUCUCAGCUCACUGCAACCUCCACCUCCCGGGUUCCAGCGAUUCUCCUGCCUCAGCCUCCCAAGUAGCUGGGAUUACAGGCGCCUGCCACCACGCCCAGCUAAUUUUUUUUUUUUUUUUUUUUUUUGUAUUUUUAGUAGAGACGGGGUUUCUCCAUGUUGGCCAAGCUGGUCUCAAACUCCUGACCUCAGGUGACCCACCUGCCUCAGCCUCCCAAAGUGCUGGAAUUAAGAGGUGUGAGCCACCACACCUGGCCUACAGCAGAUUUAUUUCAGUAGCUGAAAUAGUUAAAACAUAAUGAUUCCAAAGGCUGAGAAGCAUGCAGAAAAAAUUGAAUCUUUAUUGCUGAUGGGAAUAUAAAACUGUAUACCACAUUGGAAAAUAAUUUGGCAAUUUCUUUUAAAGCUAAACACACACAUACAGUUAGUUAGGCUUAGCAAUUGCUGUCAUGGCCUAUUUCAUAGAAAUGAAAAUUUAUGUGUAGACCAAACCUGCACUUGACUGUUCACAGAAAUUUUAUUUGUAAUAGUCAGAACCUGGAAACAACUCACAUGUUAUUCACCAGGUAAACAGUUAAAUAAGUCUGUUAUUUCCGUAUUGUGUAAUACAACUCAAAAAUUAAAAGGAAUAAACUACUACUAUACAAAUAAGCCUUAGAUGAUUCUCAAUUCUGAAGGAAAAACCCAUUUCAAGUUGUAACAUAAUGCUUAUUUUUAUGUAUCUUAAUGUGAUGAAGUUAAAUAGUUUAGAGAACAUUGUUCGUAUUCAUCUGUUAGGGAUGGUAGAAGUUAGGGUUGUAUGUGAUUAUAAGACUAGUGGAAGGGAUACGUUUUUAAUGAUGGAUGAGUUCUGCAUUCUGAUUCAUGCAGUGGUUACAAAAAUGUAUACAUGUGAUAAAAUGUCAUGUAAAUGUGCACAUUUCACCAAUGACAAUGUGCUGGUUGUGAUAUUGUACAAUGUUAAUGGAAAAUAUCACCACUGGGGAAAAUUGAGUGGUAUGUGUAAACGGUACUAUAUUUGCAGCAUUUUGUGAGUCUUUAUUUUAACAUAAUAUGUAAAUAUGUAAAGCAACUAGAAGAAUGGUUUUAAUACAGGAGAGUAACAGCUUAUAAGCAAGAGAAAGAAAAAUGAUAAAUAAUGUGAACACUUACCAAAGGAAGGGUGGAACAGAGAAAUAAAGGACAGGGAAAAUUAUCUGGGAUGAUUCCUAAAUUCCAAUAUUUGGAUGGAACUAUACAGAAUUUUAAUAUAUCUGGAAAAUAAACUGAAAAUAUUAACGGAUCCACAGAUAUUGAAGACUUAACCUUUUUUAUCUCAUUAUUCAUUAAAACAAGUGAAAUGUUAUAGGGAAUUCUUCAAAUUGAAAGAAGCAGCUCAUGCAUAACACAAAAACAUGAAUGUAUAAAACUGACUGGUAAAAGGUAAGUAACUCAAAUUCACAGUACUGGUAUACUGUAAUGGUGGUGUACAAAUAACGUAUAUCUUUAUUGUUAAGGUUAAUACACAAAACUUUUUUAAUGAGAUGGCUGUUGCUAUGUUGCUCAGGCUGGUCUGAAACUUCUGGGCUCAAGCAAUUUUCCCCCCUCAGCCUUCUGAUUAGACGGUAUUAUGGGCACCUGCCAUGAUGUCCAUCUACAAAACUAUUAAUAAUUACAACAAUUUGUUUAGCCAUAUGUGAUAUAAAUAUAUGUAAGGUGUGACAUCAAGAACAUAAUGGGUCACCAAAAUCUCAGAGUAAAAACACUCUGGUUUUACUCACCCCCAUAGAACCUCAGUAAUAUAUCCAGCACCAAUAUUAUCACAAGUUAUAUCCCAGAACUGAAAUCCGAGGCUGAGACAUUUCCUCAGACUACAGAGAAGUGAAAAACUUGGAGCAGAUGAUAAAAGGCUUCUUCUGUAUUUAUGAGACUCCUAUGUGCCUGCCAUCAUGUGUGGAAAAUUUUAUCGACAUUCACCAGUUCAACAUGGGAUAAAUGUGAGAUUUUGGCACACAGCUUCUUCACCAUCUUGGCUUCUCUUGUUGAAAAGCUGUUAAUAGCUUAAAACAUGGGAAGUA
RNAcentral lists this long non-coding RNA (9658 nucleotides) under Homo sapiens (human). RNAcentral's name for it is "JPX transcript, XIST activator". The stretch from base 149 to 283 matches the Rfam family "JPX transcript, XIST activator conserved region 1". Lineage: Eukaryota; Metazoa; Chordata; Mammalia; Primates; Hominidae. The record is from RNAcentral.